This 107-nucleotide small RNA is filed under the name Klebsiella pneumoniae. RNAcentral's name for it is "partial RtT sRNA". It matches the Rfam family "RtT RNA", at positions 26 to 130 of the family's 130-position model. Rfam says of the family: This family represents a bacterial cis-regulatory element known as RtT RNA. The exact function of RtT is unknown although it is thought that it may be involved in changing the cellular response in relation to amino acid starvation. Lineage: Bacteria; Pseudomonadati; Pseudomonadota; Gammaproteobacteria; Enterobacterales; Enterobacteriaceae. The record is from RNAcentral.
GAAGCUUCGACCAAGGUUCGACUCGAGCGAAGCGAGAGAACGUUGCCGCAGGCAACGGCCCGAAGGGCGAGGCGCUUUAGCGCCGAGUAAUCCUUCCCCCACCACCA